AGAAGCGUUUACAAAUUAUUCAAUUUUAUUAUCAAAAUAAUCUUUCUCAAAAUUUUGCUGACUGAAGACCGUAAUUUGUGGAUUCCAAGGCGGUAUCAAAAUUUGGGAAAUGUCGUAAAUUUGCUAAUUUUGCCUUGGAACAAUUUGAAAACGAUACGGAUUUUUUAAAGAAAAUCMUUUUCGCCGAUGAGGCUUACUUUCAUAUGGUACUAGAACGUUUUAUAGGAGCCGAGGUCAAAAAUGGACGAUGGGUGUGGCACUGCCCAUAUUUCGGUUAAAAACAAUCUCAGGAUCCAGUACGAUCUAUAUCGACCGAACUUGGUAUAUAGUAUUAUCUUGACAUUCCUAUGUUCUAGUGCGAAAAAACUACUACGGACCACAACCACGUCUACUUCCCAUAUAAUCAAAAUUUAAGUUCCUCGGACAUGCAUUUCCCAGAAUGCAAUUUGAGCUUAAAGAUGACCACCAAAAAUUGUUAAAAUCCGACUUAAAUAAUUCAAGUCCCCAGUUACUGAAUAUCUGGAUCAAACUUUCAAUUGCGAACAUUUUAUCGAAAAUAUCAGUCAAUCUGAAAUUCCAGUUCACUUUACGCCGCAUAUAUCAGGCAAAUAUGUUGGUAAUUUUAAUAGAAUUGAGAGAGUUUUUUUUAAUAACGGUGCUUCUUUGUGCCUAAAAUGGAUAAAAUCGGGUGAAAACUUGUUUAAGACCCCAUAUAACUUACAAACCUUGUCAAAAUUGUUCUUUUAAUAAAAAUUCUUACUUAUUUUAUUCGCGAACGCAACAAUAAGCCUUACCGACAAAUGGUUUUGGAUUAUACAUAGGCCACGGUAUUCAAAGGAGAGCUGCCGAAAAAAAAAAUACAUUUUUUGGUGUUAUGAUUGAUGCAAUGAUUUUAGUCCGUGGAAGAAGCGCUACUUUAAAAACUGCAGCUACAAUAAAAUUAAAAUAGAGUCGGAAAACAAAGUUUUAGAAUAAUCUGAGUUAUGGUAUGGUCAGCAAGAAAAAAUUAAAAAUAAAGUAAAAAUUUAAUUUAA
Long non-coding RNA from Bactrocera latifrons, 1034 nucleotides. RefSeq lists it as uncharacterized. Lineage: Eukaryota; Metazoa; Arthropoda; Insecta; Diptera; Tephritidae. The record is from RefSeq and is a predicted model, not a curated record. The transcript has 4 exons.